This 271-nucleotide ribosomal RNA is filed under the name Gammaproteobacteria bacterium. RNAcentral describes it as "partial 16S ribosomal RNA". It matches the Rfam family "Bacterial small subunit ribosomal RNA", at positions 1 to 264 of the family's 1533-position model. Lineage: Bacteria; Pseudomonadati; Pseudomonadota; Gammaproteobacteria. The record is from RNAcentral.
AAGAUUAAACUGAAGAGUUUGAUCAUGGCUCAGAUUGAACGCUGGCGGCAGGCUUAACACAUGCAAGUCGAGCGGAAACGAUGGGAGCUUGCUCCCAGGCGUCGAGCGGCGGACGGGUGAGUAACGCGUAGGAAUCUACCCAGUAGAGGGGGAUAGCCCGAGGAAACUCGGAUUAAUACCGCAUACGCCCCAAGGGGGAAAGGCCGGGAUCUUCGGACCGGUCACUAUUGGAUGAGCCUGCGUGAGAUUAGCUUGUUGGUGGGGUAAUGGC